AACGAACGCUGGCGGCAUGCCUAACACAUGCAAGUCGAACGAGACCUUCGUGUCUUUUUGCGCACGGGUUCUUAACGCGUUGUAACCUUCCCUUAUGUUCGGAAUAACUCCCCGUAUGGGGUUCUAAUACCGGUUAAUGUCUUCUGACCAAAGAUUUAUCGCCUUUGGUUGGGCCCGCGUUGGAUUAGCUAGUUGGUAGGGUAAAAGCCUACCAAGGAGACGAUCCAUAGCUGGUAUGAGAGGAUGAUCAGCCACACUGGGAAUGAGACACGGCAGAGAAUACUACGGGAGGGAGGAGUGGGGAAUAGAGGAAAAUGGGCGAAAGGAUGAUACAGAAAUGACGGGUGAGAGAUGAAGGCAUUAGGGUAGAAAAGAAAUAUUACACGGGAAGAUAAUGACAGUAACGGGAGAAUAAGCACCGGCUAACUCCGUG
RNAcentral lists this ribosomal RNA (433 nucleotides) under uncultured bacterium. RNAcentral's name for it is "partial 16S ribosomal RNA". It matches the Rfam family "Bacterial small subunit ribosomal RNA", at positions 29 to 507 of the family's 1533-position model. The record is from RNAcentral.